This 211-nucleotide long non-coding RNA is filed under the name Lathyrus oleraceus (garden pea). Its description in RNAcentral is "Pisum sativum (pea) long non-coding RNA (PSAT_LNC018442)". Lineage: Eukaryota; Viridiplantae; Streptophyta; Magnoliopsida; Fabales; Fabaceae. The record is from RNAcentral.
ACACACACACACACACACACACACACACACACACACACACACACACACACACACACGUUGGAGAUGUGAUUGUAAUAUCAAGAACACCCUACUUGUUGAGUAUUCGUUUAUAGUCAUCACCUCCAAGUUGUUUAGUAUAGAUGUCAUCUAGUUGAUCAAAAGAACGGAGAUAUGAAAGAGUGAUAAGAUCUGAUUUAAUUUUCUCACGAAC